Molecule: long non-coding RNA, 289 nt
Filed under: Mustela putorius furo (domestic ferret)
Lineage: Eukaryota; Metazoa; Chordata; Mammalia; Carnivora; Mustelidae
Description: lncRNA (ENSMPUG00000027246.1)
Source: RNAcentral
AUGAUGUUUUCUGCUGAGAUUGUGUACAAGAGCUUUUGGUUAUUGGGGGAUGGGGGAGAAGAUAGAAAUCUUCUGCGUCAUGAGGAAACUAAUUUUAUUUUCAUCCUUUCUCCUUUCAAAGGGCUAUAUUAUUGCUACAGAGGGAAAACAGGCAUCAUUUGCAGGAAAGAGAAACAAGAAAAAGCAAUGGAAAAUAGAACCAAAGAACGUUAAGAUUGCCCGGUCUCCAGUACUUAACACAGUGCCUGGCACAUAAAGGUGUUCAAUCAACUAUUGUUAGUGAGUUGAG